Epinephelus fuscoguttatus (brown-marbled grouper) is the source of this 238-nucleotide long non-coding RNA. RefSeq lists it as uncharacterized. The transcript is spliced from 3 exons. Lineage: Eukaryota; Metazoa; Chordata; Actinopteri; Perciformes; Serranidae. The record is from RefSeq and is a predicted model, not a curated record.
UGUUCCUUGGCCUGUGACGUCCACCAGUUAAGAUACCACUCCUUAGUUUAUUUUUACACACCUGUCCCAGGGAAGACUGAACCCGAUGCACCCUGAACAUGACACGUGAUGUGUUUAUUUUGCAUGUGUGUCGACAAGCUGACAUCAGCUUUUGCUCCUGGCAUGCUACUGUGUUUAAAAGUGCUGCUGUUCUCUGCUACUGUCAUUACCUGGCUGGAAUGACGAAACAAUGUAGAGA